Hyla sarda is the source of this 385-nucleotide long non-coding RNA. RefSeq lists it as uncharacterized. The record is from RefSeq and is a predicted model, not a curated record. NCBI's taxonomy places the organism in Eukaryota, Metazoa, Chordata, Amphibia, Anura, Hylidae. The transcript has 3 exons.
ACACUAUACUUCAUGCAAAAUCCGGACACCCACGACACCUAGUGAAUAACAUCCCAACUGGACAAUAUCUUCGGGCACGACGUAUCUGUUCCAAUACCUUGGACUUCGAGAAACAAGCUGAAGAUCUUCAGGUUCGGGGCAUUGAUCGGGUCUAUGCUGGCCCUCGUGGCGGCAAUUGGAAAACUCUUCUCGCUCAAAAAGAAUGUAAAUGGAUCGAAAUUUUGGGAACAAAAACUCCGGCUGGAUUGAACGAGAUCAACAGUUUUGCCUCCUAUUUGGUCUACAAUACAUCUUGCUCAUCAUUCUAUCAAUAUGGCGGGAGACUCCCCUUUUCCUUCCUUUUCCCUCCUCCUUUCCCAUGUUCCCCAUCCUUAUGUACUAUUCG